UGAAAGUGGGCAUGAGGGCAGCAGAAGGAGUAAAGCAUGAGGGAGGAGGUCUCCUCUGGCACCUGAGCUGAAGGGCCCUCAGGGCAGCCCCAAGGCCGCAGCCUCCCGGUUGCCCUGCAGCCUGGCUGCUGAGUCCCAGCUGCUUCAGCUGGCUAGAGGUCCUUACUUAGUUGUCUCAAGCACCUGAAGCCUACCUUGCCCACCUGCGAGUCACUCGCCCCACAAGCAGGGCACCCAUCUGAGUCCUGUGCCCAGGGCAAACCCCACAACUGCCUGGUAGUGGAGCCACGACAGGGCAGUCAGUGCUCAGGAGGUGCCACACAGCCCCCAAGCACAGAUGCGGCCACACAAAGCCGCUAUUAUAGUUAACAGGUUGAGCCAGAUUCUCUGUGUGCCACCCACCGCACUGCACAGGGCCUCUAGGACCCCAUCCCUGCCUGGGUUCCUGGGGCCCCUCAGGCCGCCACCCACUCAACCAGAGGGCCAGAUCUGAGGGGCAGGGCUCGCUGGCCGCAGGAAUUUGGUGAUUGCCGUCGGUUCUGAAGCCAAAGAAGGAAGCAGACCUCUCCGCGCAGGCAGAUGAGAAAACCAAGGCACUGAAAGCUGGAAAGGGGCAGACCAGACGCAAACACUGCUUUCUUGACUCCACUCACUACAAGCUGCUUCCUUAAGCCUAAACUUGGCUCUUGCCUCACAGGACUAUCUUGCAGGAACCUAGGUCUUUGGCUGGUUUUUGAAGCUGAACCCACCUGGUUUUCUCCUUCAUCUGAUGCAGCAAGAGAAAUUUGGCCAGGAGGGGGCCGUUGGUGCAGACCAAGCAUCCAGUGGGAACACACAGGGGUCAGCUACCUUGGAUUCCUCCUCCCCACUUGGGGGUUCAGCUUCCCUAUUUCCCCCAGGGACAAAGACCCAGCCAGGUCACUCUCAGGGAUUCAGGGAAAAUAAGCAUUGUGUCUGGGGCAUAAAGAAAGGCCAAGUUCUGGGCAUGUGGCUGCAGGCAUGUCUUACGGGACAGAGACAGCCCCCCCAGCCGAGGACUGGCCUCCCAAUAACUCUGUUCUGCCUGGAGUGUCCUUGUGCUGGACUUCCUCCAGCAACCUCACCCUUACAGAAAAAUAGGGAUGCUUUUCUUGAACUUCCUCUUUCUAUUCCUCCUUCUAAGUCAGGGACAGAUGGGGUGGCAGGGGUGGGAAGUAUACUGAUCUGUUUCUUGUCACUGUUGCCCCUAUGUCCUGAUAUAAAAACCUGGGAGUCUUGUC
This 1259-nucleotide long non-coding RNA is filed under the name Homo sapiens (human). RNAcentral's name for it is "non-protein coding TLX1NB:5". The record is from RNAcentral. Lineage: Eukaryota; Metazoa; Chordata; Mammalia; Primates; Hominidae.